AAGAACUCUGGAAUGAGUCUUUGCUUAAAAGAGGCUGGGGUUAUGCUCUCCAGUUUCGCCCAAGGAUGGGGCCGCGGCCGAUCAGGUUGUUGGUGAGGUAAUGGCUCACCAAGCCUUUUACCGGUGCGGGCCGUGGGAGCGGGAGCCCGGAGAUGGGCACUGAGACAAGGGCCCAGGCCCUACGGGGCGCAGCAGUCGCGAAAACUUUGCAAUAAGCGAAAGCUUGACAGGGCUAUCCCGAGUGCCAUCCGCUGAGGAAGGCUUUUACCCAGUCUAGAACGCUGGGGGAAUAAGGAGAGGGCAAGUCUGGUGUCAGCCGCCGCGGUAAUACCAGCUCUCCGAGUGGUGUGGAUGUUUAUUGGGCCUAAAGCAUCCGUAGCUGGCUAGGUUAGUCCCCUGUUAAAUCCACCGAAUUAAUCGUUGGAUUGCGGGGGAUACUACUUGGCUAGGGGACGAGAGAGGCAGACGGUAUUUCCGGGGUAGGGGUGAAAUCCUAUAAUCCCGGGAAGACCACCAGUGGCGAAGGCUGUCUGCUAGAACGCGCCCGACGGUGAGGGAUGAAAGCUGGGGGAGCGAACCGGAUUAGAUACCCGGGUAGUCCCAGCUGUAAACGAUGCAGACUAGGUGUUUGGACGGCCACGUGCCGUUCUAGUGCCGCAGGGAAGCUGUUAAGUCUGCCGCCUGGGGAGUACGAUCGCAAGAUUGAAACUUAAAGGAAUUGGCGGGGGAGCACCACAAGGGGUGAAGCUU
RNAcentral lists this ribosomal RNA (750 nucleotides) under uncultured archaeon. Its description in RNAcentral is "bacterial SSU rRNA". It matches the Rfam family "Archaeal small subunit ribosomal RNA", at positions 163 to 896 of the family's 1478-position model. The record is from RNAcentral.